UUCAAAUGUUCACAUUAGUCUUUUUAAUGUUUACAUGAGAAACAAUGUAUAAGAGUUUAUUUCAGCCUGCUAACAAGCCAUCAUACAGUUUCACUUUUGCUUGCUUGUAUAUUUCUUUUAUCUGUUGGAAAAAAAUGAUGACCCGGUUCUUCGUCCUUUGUUCUUGAUAAGAAUUGUAAUUACACGUCCAUCAUUUCACCAAAAAAGUAUAAAUGUCCAAUUACUUGUGUCCAAUUUUGUUUAUUUCAUACAAGGUCUUGAAUGUGCACUUUUUGUACAGCACAGUUAUAUAAUCAGAAAUGAACCAGACAACAGGAUAGAGUGGGAAAAUAUUAUAAAACUGUAUAAAAUGUGCUUGAAACCCUUCUGAUAUGCAUGGCGGCCAAUGGCUCACCCGCCCGCAAACAAAGUAACUCAAAUGACUCAAAUGAAAAUACAGUCUAUUAUGCCUCAGGUCCUCAUAUUGGUUCUCCCUCUUGCUUGCCAUUAUGCACUUUAUUUGACAUCCACAUUAAUCUGUGUCCCUGUCCAGUCUCUGACCUCAAAGACUAACAAUACAUGUUGUAAAUGGCUCCCUAUUCCCAAGCUGUCCCUUGCCAGAAGUAGUUCAUAUUAAAGGGGAUUGGGAGCCAUUUGAGCUAAACCUCCACCGUGUUACACAGUCUGCAUGAUCACCCACUAUCCCGCUGUGACAACAAUAUGCUAAUUGAUCACAGGCAGGACAUUAUGUCUGAACAGAAAAUCACCAGCCAUUAUUUACAUUUGCAUUCUGAUCUCUGCUGUGCUAGCUAACAUGGCCAAUCAGACCAUCUCAUAACUUAAACAACUCAAUUGCAAAGAUAACAGCGCUUCUCAGUAUGUUUCUCUAUCGGAGUAUGUAGUAGUAGUUUAACAUAUUCAAGCAAAUAUGUUUACAGUAGAAUUAGCUGAAAACUUUUUUGAAACAAACAAAAAUCUGUCAAAUACACUUCCAAUGACAUCUGGAAAAAACAGUGCAGCAAACAACAGCGAUAAAACAUAUCCAUGUUCGCUUUUGCGUGCACCAGGGUUUUAAGGUGACUUCGCUUAAAGCUGCACGGGAAAUCACAGAGACAGCUUUAGUAAAAGGCACGGUCCCCACAUCAUUGGGCAUACUGUAUCACAACUAAUACACAAUAUGGCCUUCGUUUGUUAAUUACAAUUUAUCGGCUGUACAUAAGCAUUAAUAAAGUUGGCAAUUAGAUUGGAUCACUGUCAUUGCACAGCUAUAUCAUUUAGAUGAACUGCUAUACUACAAAGGAGAUGUUGUCAGAAAGAAAGAGGUUUGUGACAUAACCUGAUUCACUGAUUUGGAUUAUGUGAGCUACUGCUGCUGUAUGUUCAUUUUCUAGCUCUAGAAACUCCCUGGUAACAUGUACAGUGUUGUAUCAAAGAACACCAAGGCCUACAUGGUUUUGUACAAAUAAAUCAAAUCAUUUGUCUUAGACACCUUUUUAACUGUAAGAUACCUUAACUAUCGAGGUCAGGGUUUAGCAAACUUAGGAGUCGCAAACCGUUGUGGGAUACCCUGAUUUAAAAACGUGGUGAAGAGAAAACGCAAAGAAUCAUUUGUGCUUUCUUCAUAGAACCAGGGUUUUGCUUUUGUAAGAAAAGUUGUUAAAAAUGAGAUGGGGCCCAAUAGGCUAAAAUGGACCUGGAGUGAUUUGUAACAGUCAUAAAUACAAAAAGUAAACAUUGAUAACAUAAAAUUAAUUAAUUAAAAAAAAAACAUUGCAUAUGGUCAUACUUUUUCAAUUAAAAUGGGGGAAGCGGGCAAAACAGGUGUGUGUGGGUACCCCUGAACUAGGUGCAGAGGUGGACCCAUCCAACAGGUGUGUGUGGGUACCCCUGAACUAGGUGCAGAGGUGGACCCAUCCAACAGGUGUGUGUGGGUACCCCUGAACUAGGUGCAGAGGUGGACCCAUCCAACAGGUGUGUGUGGG
Molecule: long non-coding RNA, 1961 nt
Organism: Esox lucius (northern pike)
Lineage: Eukaryota; Metazoa; Chordata; Actinopteri; Esociformes; Esocidae
Source: Ensembl